This 455-nucleotide ribosomal RNA is filed under the name uncultured Bacteroidota bacterium. Its description in RNAcentral is "SSU rRNA". It matches the Rfam family "Bacterial small subunit ribosomal RNA", at positions 458 to 915 of the family's 1533-position model. Lineage: Bacteria; Pseudomonadati; Bacteroidota. The record is from RNAcentral.
CGUGAAUCAAGCGGAAUGUACGGUAAGAAUAAGGAUCGGCUAACUCCGUGCCAGCAGCCGCGGUAAUACGGAGGAUCCAAGCGUUAUCCGGAUUUAUUGGGUUUAAAGGGUGCGUAGGCGGCCUGUUAAGUCAGGGGUGAAAGACGGUAGCUCAACUAUCGCAGUGCCCUUGAUACUGAUGGGCUUGAAUGUACUAGAGGUAGGCGGAAUGUGACAAGUAGCGGUGAAAUGCAUAGAUAUGUCACAGAACACCAAUUGCGAAGGCAGCUUACUAUGGUAUGAUUGACGCUGAGGCACGAAAGCGUGGGGAUCAAACAGGAUUAGAUACCCUGGUAGUCCACGCCCUAAACGAUGAAUACUCGAUGUUAGCGAUAUACAGUUAGCGUCAAAGCGAAAGCGUUAAGUAUUCCACCUGGGGAGUACGCCCGCAAGGGUGAAACUCAAAGGAAUUGACG